GAUGAACGCUGGCGGCGUGCUUAACACAUGCAAGUCGAACGAAGCAUUUGCGACAGAUUUUUUCGGAAUGAAGUUGCUUAUGACUGAGUGGCGGACGGGUGAGUAACGCGUGGGUAACCUGCCUUGUACUGGGGGAUAGCAGCUGGAAACGGCUGGUAAUACCGCAUAAGCGCACAAUGUUGCAUGACAUGGUGUGAAAAACUCCGGUGGUAUAAGAUGGACCCGCGUCUGAUUAGCUAGUUGGUGAGAUAACAGCCCACCAAGGCGACGAUCAGUAGCCGACCUGAGAGGGUGACCGGCCACAUUGGGACUGAGACACGGCCCAGACUCCUACGGUAGGCAGCAGUGGGGAAUAUUGCACAAUGGAGGAAACUCUGAUGCAGCGACGCCGCGUGAGUGAAGAAGUAAUUCGUUAUGUAAAGCUCUAUCAGCAGGGAAGAUAGUGACGGUACCUGACUAAGAAGCUCCGGCUAAAUACGUG
This 481-nucleotide ribosomal RNA is filed under the name uncultured bacterium. Its description in RNAcentral is "partial 16S ribosomal RNA". It matches the Rfam family "Bacterial small subunit ribosomal RNA", at positions 28 to 507 of the family's 1533-position model. The record is from RNAcentral.